Molecule: ribosomal RNA, 468 nt
Filed under: uncultured bacterium
Lineage: Bacteria
Description: partial 16S ribosomal RNA
Rfam family: Bacterial small subunit ribosomal RNA
Source: RNAcentral
GACGAGCGCUGGCGGCGUGCUUAACACAUGCAAGUCGAACGGAAAGGCCCUGCUUUUGUGGGGUGCUCGAGUGGCGAACGGGUGAGUAACACGUGAGUAACCUGCCCUUGACUUUGGGAUAACUUCAGGAAACUGGGGCUAAUACCGGAUAGGAGCUCCUGCUGCAUGGUGGGGGUUGGAAAGUUUCGGCGGUUGGGGAUGGACUCGCGGCUUAUCAGCUUGUUGGUGGGGUAGUGGCUUACCAAGGCUUUGACGGGUAGCCGGCCUGAGAGGGUGACCGACCACAUUGGGACUGAGAUACGGCCCAGACUCCUACGGGAGGCAGCAGUGGGGAAUAUUGCACAAUGGGCGGAAGCCUGAUGCAGCAACGCCGCGUGCGGGAUGACGGCCUUCGGGUUGUAAACCGCUUUCGCCUGUGACGAAGCGUGAGUGACGGUAAUGGGUAAAGAAGCACCGGCUAACUACGUG